AGACUGGUCCUGAAACGUGUUCUCCGCGUAGGGAUGAGAUUUUUGAGAACUGGUUAGAAGACAGGCAUUGUUUGCCGGCCAGGCUUCUAAUGAGACUUUAACUGCAAACUAAACAUGUAGACAUUGGCAGGGUACCGGUUCUGGACGCGGGUUCGAUUCCCGCCGCCUCCACCA
Molecule: transfer-messenger RNA, 174 nt
Filed under: bacterium
Lineage: Bacteria
Description: partial transfer-messenger RNA
Rfam family: transfer-messenger RNA
About the family: Bacterial tmRNA, also known as 10Sa RNA or SsrA, is named for its dual tRNA and mRNA-like properties. Its role is to liberate the mRNA from a stalled ribosome. To accomplish this part of the tmRNA is used as a reading frame that ends in a translation stop signal.
Source: RNAcentral